ACAACCAUCACUCCUUACUCGCAGCUAAAAUAUAAAUUGUUAACCUUGUAUGAAUUCUGAAUCUUGCUACAGCAGAACUUUGAAAUUGAAAUUCAUUCUAAGAUGCAAAUGGAUGUGAAGUUCCAAACCCUAGCAUCGCAACAGCCGCAGGAAUCACUGACGCUGACGAGCCCUAACACAAACAACUAUCCGCCUCCUCAGUCAUCCGCGGCGGAGGCGCCUCCAAAGCAGGUGGCGCUGGCGAUGGAGAGACUUACACAAGCAGCUCGUCACAUAGCGGACGUUCGGCUCGGCGCCGACCGCCUUCUGGAGGCUCUAUUCUUGGCCGCGCAGCCUCACCAGAGCAACAAACAAGACAAUUUGUUCAGCCAAGAAGAUGCCGCAAUGCGUCAGCAUCUCCAAGACCUCCGAUCCAUUGGAAGGCAACUAGAAGAAUCUGGAGUUUUGAAUGAGCAUCUUCGUUCACGGAGUAAUUCUUGGGGUUUGCAUAUGCCAUUGGUGUGUCCCGAUGGUGCGGUGGUUGCCUAUGCUUGGAAACGCCAGCUCGCUGGUCAGGCUGGUGCCUCCGCUGUUGACAGAACAAGGUUAGCUCUCAAGGCCUUCACAGAUCAGAAAAAGCGAUUUUUUCCUCACCUUAAUGACAAGCCAGAUGAUCAUAGUAGUGAACCAGCAUCCAAAAAACAGUGUGGUUCCCAAGUACUACCUGCCGAAGAGCUUAAUGACUGCAAAACAUUAUCAGAUGUUCUAAUGAGUCUGGACAAAGAAGUGCCAAAUUUGAAAAUUUUCACCUAUGAACGACUAGAUUGGUUAAAAAGAGCUUCUUCAUUGCCAAGUUCAGCAAAUGAGAGUCCCAUUGAAUUAUUGAAAGAGCAUAAUUUUCAUAGUUCAAAUAAGUUAAGACCAGGAUUGCAGAAUACUAUUGCUGCAGACAAGGUUGCUGUAAUUGAGUUGUUGUUUCCUUCUGUUUUCAGAGCUAUAGUUUCGUUGCAUCCAGUUGGUUCUACUGAGCCAGAUGCAGUCGCUUUCUUUUCUCCAGAUGAGGGAGGCAACUACAUACACGCUAGGGGUUCUUCAGUUUAUCAGACAUUUAGACGCAUCACGGUAAUAGCCCUUAUAAUUAAACAAGUUUCUCCACUCCCCUUCAGGAGCAUGCUAUUAUGGCGCUACAAUAUUUUCUUGGGACCAGGACUGAAACAUCUCUUUAUUAUCUUUUGCACUGGAUCUGCACGUAUCAAACUCUAUUUUCUAAGGCUUGCAGUAAGUGUGGACGGCUACUGACAAUGGACAAGCAGUUGGCUCUAUUACUACCUCCCGUUAAUCGCCCUUAUAGGCAUUUCUUUCCUUUGGUAACUACAUCAACACAACAUGUUUCAUCCACAACAAAGAACCAGAACGUGGAUGUCUCCACUGCCUAUCAUGUUGGUUGCUAUUCAGAGGAUGCUUAGUUAUAUCAAUUAUCUCGGUCAGUGGACAGGGUAGAAAUUGUCAGCUAAUGUAAAAUGUAUCAGAAAAAUGUUAAUGUAAGUUUCACUCAAUUUAAUCUUGGUGUUUAUGAUAAUUUUCAGGAUGUUGAUAGUUUUAGAAACUUUGAAAUGAUUCGCUUAUCGUUACUGCCUCUCUUAGUUUCUUAAAUCUUGUAAGGACUUUAAGAUACAUUUCCAAUUUUAGUUUUGUGGCGGGGAUCUGUUCUUUUUU
RNA transcript from Mangifera indica (mango), 1695 nucleotides. It is a transcript of the gene named mediator of RNA polymerase II transcription subunit 27, with no coding region annotated. Lineage: Eukaryota; Viridiplantae; Streptophyta; Magnoliopsida; Sapindales; Anacardiaceae. The record is from RefSeq and is a predicted model, not a curated record. The transcript is spliced from 8 exons.